GUGGGGAAUCUUCCACAAUGGACGAAAGUCUGAUGGAGCAACGCCGCGUGAGUGAAGAAGGGUUUCGGCUCGUAAAGCUCUGUUGUCGGGGACGAAUGUGCAGUAUUUGAAUAAAGUAUUGCAAUGACGGUACCUGACGAGGAAGCCACGGCUAACUACGUGCCAGCAGCCGCGGUAAUACGUAGGUGGCAAGCGUUGUCCGGAAUUAUUGGGCGUAAAGGGAGCGCAGGCGGGAAGGUAAGUCGGUCUUAAAAGUGCGGGGCUCAACCCCGUGAUGGGAUCGAAACUAUCUUUCUUGAGUGCAGGAGAGGAAAGUGGAAUUCCAAGUGUAGCGGUGAAAUGCGUAGAGAUUUCGAAGAACACCAGUGGCGAAGGCGACUUUCUGGACGAUGUCUGACGCUGAGGCGCGAAAGCUAGGGGAGCGAACGGGAUUAGAUACCCCAGUAGUCC
RNAcentral lists this ribosomal RNA (450 nucleotides) under uncultured bacterium. RNAcentral's name for it is "partial 16S ribosomal RNA". It matches the Rfam family "Bacterial small subunit ribosomal RNA", at positions 354 to 796 of the family's 1533-position model. The record is from RNAcentral.